GGCGUAGUUGCUCUGUCGGUAUGGGCAGCCUGACUUUCAAUCAGGACCCUCGUCGGUUCGACUCCGAUCUACGUCACC
Molecule: transfer RNA, 78 nt
Filed under: Nocardia otitidiscaviarum
Lineage: Bacteria; Bacillati; Actinomycetota; Actinomycetes; Mycobacteriales; Nocardiaceae
Description: tRNA-Glu(ttc)
Rfam family: tRNA
About the family: Transfer RNA (tRNA) molecules are approximately 80 nucleotides in length.
Source: RNAcentral